CCUACGGGGAGCUGCAGUGAGGAAUAUUGGUCAAUGGCCGGAAGGCUGAACCAGCCAAGUCGCGUGAGGGACGACUGCCCUAUGGGUUGUAAACCUCUUUUAUCAGGGAAGAAUAAAUGCUACGUGUAGCAUGAUGCCUGUACCUUAUGAAUAAGCAUCGGCUAACUCCGUGCCAGCAGCCGCGGUAAUACGGAGGAUGCGAGCGUUAUCCGGAUUUAUUGGGUUUAAAGGGUGCGUAGGCGGUUUUUUAAGUUAGUGGUAAAACGUCGGGGCUUCACCUUGAUUUGCCAUUAAUACUGUAAGACGCGAGUUCAGACGAGGUAGGCGGAAUAAGUUAAGUAGCGGUGAAAUGCUUAGAUAUAACUUAGAACUCCGAUAGCGAAGGCAGCUUGCCAGACUGCGACUGACGCUGAAGCACGAGAGCGUGGGUAGCGAACAGGAUUAGAUACCCCGGUAGUC
This 459-nucleotide ribosomal RNA is filed under the name uncultured bacterium. RNAcentral describes it as "partial 16S ribosomal RNA". It matches the Rfam family "Bacterial small subunit ribosomal RNA", at positions 338 to 795 of the family's 1533-position model. The record is from RNAcentral.